Poecilia latipinna (sailfin molly) is the source of this 895-nucleotide long non-coding RNA. RefSeq lists it as uncharacterized. The transcript is spliced from 3 exons. The record is from RefSeq and is a predicted model, not a curated record. NCBI's taxonomy places the organism in Eukaryota, Metazoa, Chordata, Actinopteri, Cyprinodontiformes, Poeciliidae.
AACCUCGGCUCAUUAAACGGCGCCAUGUUUCGUUUCUCUAUCAGUUUAAUGUAAAACAUGUUGAGUCAAACAGUUUGCAUGUUUUCUCUAAAUGCGGAGAACUGAUUAUGUUUCGCAGAGUUAACUCAUUACAGUGGUUCUGAUCCAGACUCCUGGGCUUCCGUAGUCUGCAGCGGCGGGCUGAGUGAUGUCGCCCCGCUGGUAAUGAGUCUGCUGCGGGUUGGGCUUCGGAGUCAACAGCCGCGUUAACCCGCCGAUGAAACGCCGCGGAACCGGCAUCAUUAGCCGGGAGAGAGACGCUCUGCUGCGGCCGUAACGAGCCGCGGCCGCCAUCGCUCACUCCUUAAUUAGCAGCGGGGCGGCGCGGGGCUCCUCUACUCGCUAAUGGAGGCAACAUGGCGGAACAUCACGGCCCAGUUGGAGCCGGGACGGAGCAGCUUCUCUGCUCAACAGUUCAUCAGCUGAUGAGCACAACGGCAGGGGUCAGAGGUCAGCGUUAUUACGUCUGAAGGCUCGGGGUGCCGUGACGGGGUGUGGUCAGGUGUCAUCUGAGUUUGAUGUGUGAUGUGAGGCCGCACACUUCAAGGUCAGAGGUCAAGGUGGAUGAAGAGGCAGAAUCAUCCUCAUCAGAUCGUCACAUCUGGUCUAAUCAAAGUCCUGAUCCGGGUCAUGUGACCUCCUGAGGCUCCACCCACUAACAGGCUGAUCCUCAGGGACUUCAGUCAGGAACUGGGUCAACGGAUCAGUGAGUGACGUCAUCCACAGCAGGAAGAGUUUAUUGAUCAGGUCCUGAAGGGAAACAGCGCCCCCUGCUGGUAACGGUAAGGAACUGCAGGUAUUUAAUUGAUCAGAAACAGUUUUUACAGUAUAAAUGUUUGGAGUUUCUUUGGUUUUC